RNAcentral lists this ribosomal RNA (880 nucleotides) under uncultured bacterium. RNAcentral's name for it is "bacterial SSU rRNA". It matches the Rfam family "Bacterial small subunit ribosomal RNA", at positions 51 to 944 of the family's 1533-position model. The record is from RNAcentral.
ACACAUGCAAGUCGAACGAGAGAGAGGAAGCUUGCUUCCUCAAUCGAGUGGCGAACGGGUGAGUAACGCGUGAGGAACCUGCCUCAAAGAGGGGGACAACAGUUGGAAACGACUGCUAAUACCGCAUAAGCCCACAGGUCGGCAUCGACCAGAGGGAAAAGGAGCAAUCCGCUUUGAGAUGGCCUCGCGUCCGAUUAGCUAGUUGGUGAGGUAAUGGCCCACCAAGGCAACGAUCGGUAGCCGGACUGAGAGGUUGAACGGCCACAUUGGGACUGAGACACGGCCCAGACUCCUACGGGAGGCAGCAGUGGGGAAUAUUGCACAAUGGGGGAAACCCUGAUGCAGCGACGCCGCGUGGAGGAAGAAGGUCUUCGGAUUGUAAACUCCUGUUGUUGAGGAAGAUAAUGACGGUACUCAACAAGGAAGUGACGGCUAACUACGUGCCAGCAGCCGCGGUAAAACGUAGGUCACAAGCGUUGUCCGGAAUUACUGGGUGUAAAGGGAGCGCAGGCGGGAAGACAAGUUGGAAGUGAAAUCUAUGGGCUCAACCCAUAAACUGCUUUCAAAACUGUUUUUCUUGAGUAGUGCAGAGGUAGGCGGAAUUCCCGGUGUAGCGGUGGAAUGCGUAGAUAUCGGGAGGAACACCAGUGGCGAAGGCGGCCUACUGGGCACCAACUGACGCUGAGGCUCGAAAGUGUGGGUAGCAAACAGGAUUAGAUACCCUGGUAGUCCACACCGUAAACGAUGAUUACUAGGUGUUGGAGGAUUGACCCCUUCAGUGCCGCAGUUAACACAAUAAGUAAUCCACCUGGGGAGUACGACCGCAAGGUUGAAACUCAAAGGAAUUGACGGGGGCCCGCACAAGCAGUGGAGUAUGUGG